CCUACGGGUGGCAGCAGUGAGGAAUAUUGGUCAAUGGUCGUAAGCCUGAACCAGCCAAGUCGCGUGAGGGAUUAAGGCCCUGCGGGUUGUAAACCUCUUUUGUCGGGGAGCAGAGGUCCGGACGUGUCCGGGCCUGGAGAGUACCCGGAGAAAAAGCAUCGGCUAACUCCGUGCCAGCAGCCGCGGUAUACGGAGGAUGCGAGCGUUAUCCGGAUUUAUUGGGUUUAAAGGGUGCGUAGGCGGGCAUUUAAGCCGGCGGUCAAAUGUCGGGGCUCAACCCCGGCCUGCCGUCGGAACUGGGUGCCUUGAGUGGGCGAGAAGUAUGCGGAAUGCGUGGUGUAGCGGUGAAAUGCAUAGAUAUCACGAAGAACCCCGAUUGCGAAGGCAGCAUACCGGCGCCCUACUGACGCUGAGGCACGAAAGUGCGGGUAUCGAACAGGAUUAGAUACCCUAGUAGUC
RNAcentral lists this ribosomal RNA (459 nucleotides) under uncultured bacterium. RNAcentral's name for it is "partial 16S ribosomal RNA". It matches the Rfam family "Bacterial small subunit ribosomal RNA", at positions 338 to 795 of the family's 1533-position model. The record is from RNAcentral.